UACGUAGGGUGCAAGCGUUAAUCGGAAUUACUGGGCGUAAAGCGUGCGCAGGCGGAUGUGUAAGUUAGGAGUGAAAUCCCCGGGCUCAACCUGGGAACUGCUCUUAAGACUGCAUAUCUAGAGUUUGUCAGAGGGGGGUGGAAUUUCAAGUGUAGCAGUGAAAUGCGUAGAGAUUUGAAGGAACACCGAUGGCGAAGGCAGCCCCCUGGGAUAAAACUGACGCUCAUGUACGAAAGCGUGGGUAGCAAACAGGAUUAGAUACCCUGGUAGUCCACGCCCUAAACGAUGUCUACUUGCUGUUGGGGGUAACCUUAGUAGCGAAGCUAACGCGAGAAGUAGACCGCCUGGGGAGUACGGUCGCAAGAUUA
Molecule: ribosomal RNA, 368 nt
Filed under: uncultured prokaryote
Description: bacterial SSU rRNA
Rfam family: Bacterial small subunit ribosomal RNA
Source: RNAcentral